This 65-nucleotide transfer RNA is filed under the name Bradysia impatiens. RNAcentral describes it as "tRNA-Ile". The record is from RNAcentral. Lineage: Eukaryota; Metazoa; Arthropoda; Insecta; Diptera; Sciaridae.
AAUAAAUUGCCUGAUAAAAGGGGUACUUUGAUGUAGUAUUUAUGUAAAUUAAUUUACAUUUAUUA